Molecule: ribosomal RNA, 301 nt
Filed under: uncultured bacterium
Lineage: Bacteria
Description: partial 16S ribosomal RNA
Rfam family: Bacterial small subunit ribosomal RNA
Source: RNAcentral
CAGCCGCCACGGGAACACGGAGGGGGCUAGCGUUGUUCGGAAUUACCGGGCGUAAAGCGCACGUAGGCGGCUUGGUAAGUUAGAGGUGAAAGCCUGUAGCUCAACUCCAGAAUUGCCUUUAAGACUGCCGAGCUAGCAGGUGAGAGAGGUAAGUGGAAUUCCGAGUGUAGAGGUGAAAUUCGUAGAUAUUCGGAAGAACACCAGUGGCGAAGGCGGCUUACUGGCUCAUACUGGACGCUGAGGUGCGAAAGCGUGGGGAGCAAACAGGAUUAGAUACCCCUGUAGUCCCUGUCUCUUAUAC